This 386-nucleotide ribosomal RNA is filed under the name uncultured bacterium. RNAcentral's name for it is "bacterial SSU rRNA". It matches the Rfam family "Bacterial small subunit ribosomal RNA", at positions 29 to 416 of the family's 1533-position model. The record is from RNAcentral.
AUUAAACGCUGGCGGCAUGCCUUACACAUGCAAGUCGAACGGCAGCACGGGGGCAACCCUGGUGGCGAGUGGCGAACGGGUGAGUAAAGCAUCGGAACGUGCCCUGGAGUGGGGGAUAACGUAGCGAAAGUUACGCUAAUACCGCAUAUUCUGUGAGCAGGAAAGCAGGGGAUCGCAAGACCUUGCGCUCUGGGAGCGGCCGAUGUCGGAUUAGCUAGUUGGUGGGGUAAAGGCCUACCAAGGCGACGAUCCGUAGCGGGUCUGAGAGGAUGAUCCGCCACACUGGGACUGAGACACGGCCCAGACUCCUACGGGGGUCAGCAGUAGGGAAUUUUGGACAAUGGGCGCAAGCCUGAUCCAGCCAUGCCGCGUGAGUGAAGAAGGCC